RNAcentral lists this ribosomal RNA (433 nucleotides) under uncultured bacterium. RNAcentral describes it as "partial 16S ribosomal RNA". It matches the Rfam family "Bacterial small subunit ribosomal RNA", at positions 29 to 507 of the family's 1533-position model. The record is from RNAcentral.
AACGAACGCUGGCGGCAUGCCUAACACAUGCAAGUCGAACGAGACCUUCGGGUCUAGUGGCGCACGGGUGCGUAACGCGUGGGAACCUGCCCUUAGGUUCGGAAUAACUCCCCGAAAGGGGUGCUAAUACCGGUUAAUGUCUUCGGACCAAAGAUUUAUCGCCUUUGGAUGGGCCCGCGUUGGAUUAGCUAGUUGGUAGGGUAAAAGCCUACCAAGGCGACAAUCCAUAGCUGGUCUGAGAGGAUGAUCAGCUACACUGGGACUGAGACACGGCCCAGACUCCUACGGGAGGCAGCAGUGGGUAAUAUUGGACAAUGGGCGAAAGCCUGAUCCAGCAAUGCCGCGUGAGUGAUGAAGGCCUUAGGGUUGUAAAGCUCUUUUACCCGGGAUGAUAAUGACAGUACCGGGAGAAUAAGCACCGGCUAACUCCGUG